RNAcentral lists this long non-coding RNA (1032 nucleotides) under Vombatus ursinus (common wombat). Its description in RNAcentral is "lncRNA (ENSVURG00010020385.1)". Lineage: Eukaryota; Metazoa; Chordata; Mammalia; Diprotodontia; Vombatidae. The record is from RNAcentral.
AACCUUUAGCAAUAGCGUUUUGAAUACCAGAGAAUUGAAUUGACAGUGGAGAGAAACCCUGUGAAGAUAAUGGAUGUGGGAAAGCCUUCUAUCAAUUCACACCUCAUUAGAUAUCAGAAUUUACAUGGAGCCCCGUGAAUGUAAAUAAUGUGGGAAGCUCUUCAAGUAGAGUUCAGCAUGCCUUGAUCAGAAAAUUCAAGCUAGAUUGACUUUCUGUGUAAUGAAUAUGGGAAAGCCUUCAUGGAGCACAUCUUGAUUGCACUUAAGAUAAGUCAUAUUUGAGAAAUAUCCUAUGAAUGGAAAGAAUGUUGGAAAAUCUUCAGGUAGAUCUUUGAUGCUAUUAAAUGUCAGAGUGGAAAUAAACCCUUAUGAAUGUAAACAGUAUGUUUAAGGCUUCAACUAGAGCUUGGACCUCAUUCAGCAUCAGAAAAUUCAAACCUGAUAUUUGAACCUUUGAAUGCAAUUAAUAUAGGAAUGAGACCUACAGUUUUGUUGCAUCUCAAAGUAUCCAGACUAGCGCUAGAUUUUAUAAAACUUUGAAAUUAAAGACCCUGAUAUUCCCAGGGUAAAAGACUAGAACCUACGAGUUUCUUUCUUGAAUCAACUGCUCUCCCUAAGCACUCUUACUACAGUGAGCCCUGUAGAAGCUGCCUUCCCUGCAUAUUAUCAAGUUGAUGACCUCGAACAUAUGAAACAACCCUUUCAAGCCUCUUGAAGAAGUCAUACCCCCGUCAGCUUAGCUUUUACCUGUUGACCACCUCUCUUUUUAGUCUGACCUGCCUUGUUCUUUUUCCCAACAACAACGAAAACUAAGCACCAGGUUUGGACCUGUGCUCCACCCACAUCCACAGAGGCUCCUAGCUCAAGCCAAGGAAUUUUGCCUCAACUAUUUGACAGGCUCCGUCUAACUGCGCAGAAGCAAAGGAGACAAGCUGAUGCCAGGUGCUCCCCUGACAGCCAGAUCCCAGGUGAGCUGUGGCUCCCUCUAGUGUUCCCAAGUUGUCAUUACUGCCAGUUGAAUCUAACCUCAAC